UCGCGGCGGUGCGCSCAGAAGGGUCUGGGCUCGAGCCUGCCUGGAGCCGCCGCCGGUGCAGAUCUUGGUGGUAGUAGCAAAUACUCCAGCGAGGCCCUGGAGGACUGACGUGGAGAAGGGUUUCGUGUGAACAGCCGUUGCACACGAGUCAGUCGACCCUAAGCCCUAGGAGAAAUCCGAUGUAAACGGCGUUGGGAAACAUUGAUUCAUUUAUGAAAGAAGCCCACUGAUCGGGCGAAAGGGAAUCCGGUUCCUAUUCCGGAACCCGGCAGCGGAACCGUUGUUUGUCGGGCCCUCACAAGGGGUUCGUCAGGGCAACCUAAAAGGGCCCGGAGACGCCGUCGGGAGCCCCGGAAAGAGUUUUCUUUUCUGCAUGAGCGUUCGAGUUCCCUGGAAUCCUCUCGCAGGGAGAUAGGGUUUGGAACGCGAAGAGCACCGCAGUUGCGGCGGUGCCCGGGAAUCCCCGACGGACCUUGAAAAUCCGGGAGAGGGCCACGUGGAGGUGUCGCGCCGGCUCGUACCCAUAUCCGCAGCAGGUCUCCAAGGUGAAGAGCCUCUAGUC
Molecule: ribosomal RNA, 562 nt
Filed under: Cordulia shurtleffii
Lineage: Eukaryota; Metazoa; Arthropoda; Insecta; Odonata; Corduliidae
Description: eukaryotic LSU rRNA
Rfam family: Eukaryotic large subunit ribosomal RNA
Source: RNAcentral